GACGUAGGAUGCGAGCGUUGUCCGGAUUUAUUGGGCGUAAAGAGUUCGUAGGUGGUUCAUUAAGUCUGGUGUUAAAGACCGGGGCUCAACCUCGGGAUCGCACUGGAUACUGGUGGACUGGAGUGCAGUAGAGGCAAGCGGAAUUCCAGGUGUAGCGGUGAAAUGCGUAGAUAUCUGGAAGAACACCGGUGGCACAAGCGGCUUGCUGGGCUGUAACUGACACUGAGGAACGAAAGCUAGGGGAGCAAAUGGG
This 253-nucleotide ribosomal RNA is filed under the name uncultured bacterium. RNAcentral's name for it is "partial 16S ribosomal RNA". It matches the Rfam family "Bacterial small subunit ribosomal RNA", at positions 524 to 776 of the family's 1533-position model. The record is from RNAcentral.